UACGGAGGGAGCUAGCGUUGUUCGGAAUUACUGGGCGUAAAGCGCACAUAGGCGGCUUUGUAAGUUAGAGGUGAAAGCCCGGGGCUCAACUCCGGAACUGCCUUUAAGACUGCAUCGCUUGAAUCCAGGAGAGGUGAGUGGAAUUCCGAGUGUAGAGGUGAAAUUCGUAGAUAUUCGGAAGAACACCAGUGGCGAAGGCGGCUCACUGGACUGGUAUUGACGCUGAGGUGCGAAAGCGUGGGGAGCAAACAGG
This 253-nucleotide ribosomal RNA is filed under the name uncultured bacterium. RNAcentral's name for it is "partial 16S ribosomal RNA". It matches the Rfam family "Bacterial small subunit ribosomal RNA", at positions 524 to 776 of the family's 1533-position model. The record is from RNAcentral.